Long non-coding RNA from Homo sapiens (human), 1020 nucleotides. RefSeq lists it as uncharacterized. NCBI's taxonomy places the organism in Eukaryota, Metazoa, Chordata, Mammalia, Primates, Hominidae. The record is from RefSeq and is a predicted model, not a curated record. The transcript has 4 exons.
GGUCAGCAAGACAAGAACAUGGCCCCUUGCCUCAUCCUUCUGAUAACCACAGAGCUGAGAUCUAACUGUGCUACCCAGCCUGGAGUCCAGUGGCUUUUCACAGGUGCAAGCAUGGCACACUACAGCCUCCUGGACUCAAGAGAUCCUCCGAACUCAGCCUCCUGAGUAGCUUGGACUCCAGGCAUACACCACUGCUCCCAGAAGAUUCUGUUAAUCCUUCAUCCGGGUCACCGCUAUCUGACCCAGCCCCCUGCUGCUGCCGUGCACAGACAGCACAUUCACUGCUGGAGGCUACUGUAAGAGAUGAAAUGGCUGGAAGUCCAGCAGGCAACCUGGGCCAUCAUGUUACCUUAAGAAGGGAUGCCCCACACUGAGAUGGUGGAGCCAAAGGUGGAAGGCACCUGAUGUCCAGGAGGGAUGAAGGCAACUCUGUCAGCCCCAGCAGUGGAGGCAACAAAAAAAUGGCUUGGGAGUUGGAGCCAGAUAUAAAAGCUGCAGACACGGGCCCAACAGUCAGAGGGGUGGCAAACAACAGAUGAAAUGGAUCAGGGAAGAACAGAGGCCCUGGAAGGAAAACACACUUCAAACACCAAGAGGUGGGAGAGUGUUACUAUGGCAAUGCAGGGCUUGGGGCUGGAGCGGCAGAGGGGCUGCUGAGAGCCAGUGAUGAAAACAAAACACAAAGGGAGGAGAUGCCCAAUCUGGAGCUCUGCCAGAGCAGGGUGGGCACCAACUCUCUCUCCUCAUCCCUGGCUUGCCGGCCGCUCCAGCCCCUCCAACUCCCAACGAUAGAAUGCAACUCUCAAAGCCACAGCAGAGCACAGAACAGCCCUGACCUGGCCUCCCCAGCCCUUUCAGCAAGUACAGCCCUGGCUUUCAUUUAUCUGGGAAGGAAAAUCGUGCUCUCCUGCCUGCCUCUAGGACUUAGCUUCUUCCGAGCCCACCAUUUGGAAUUGUGUUUCCCUCCUCUGCUGCAGCAUUGAGAAGAGACAUUAUCUUCUUCCUUCCUUCUUUUUUACU